This 316-nucleotide long non-coding RNA is filed under the name Nicotiana benthamiana. Its description in RNAcentral is "long non-coding RNA (NBEN_LNC033886)". Lineage: Eukaryota; Viridiplantae; Streptophyta; Magnoliopsida; Solanales; Solanaceae. The record is from RNAcentral.
GGAGUUUCAAUCUCCAGUUGGUCAGGGAGAGAGUAAGCAGCAUCAACUUCAACAAGCACUCUAGCAAAUGAAAUUUUAUCAUAAUGUGCAGUAAAUUUGUCAGUAUACAAUGGUUUUCCAAUAGCACUAGCCAUCUUGCUCAAGACCUCGGUAGACCAAUAUCCAACUGGAAGGCCUGGGAAACGAAUCCAAAUAGGGACAGUCCUGAGUACAUCACUCUGAAAAUUGAAAUCAACUUCCCAUGGCCUCAACUCCAUUGGCCUAUUCCUAAAAGUAUAGGGACCUGAUUGCAUGACUGAAUCCCUGUCCUCAGCAC